UCCCCUACGGGCGGCUGCAGUGGGGAAUAUUGCACAAUGGGCGCAAGCCUGAUGCAGCGACGCCGCGUGAGGGAUGACGGCCUUCGGGUUGUAAACCUCUUUCAGCAGGGAAGAAGCGAAAGUGACGGUACCUGCAGAAGAAGCGCCGGCUAACUACGUGCCAGCAGCCGCGGUAAUACGUAGGGCGCAAGCGUUGUCCGGAAUUAUUGGGCGUAAAGAGCUCGUAGGCGGUCUGUCGCGUCUGCUGUGAAAACCCGAGGCUCAACCUCGGGCCUGCAGUGGGUACGGGCAGACUAGAGUGCGGUAGGGGAGACUGGAAUUCCUGGUGUAGCGGUGGAAUGCGCAGAUAUCAGGAGGAACACCGAUGGCGAAGGCAGGUCUCUGGGCCGCAACUGACGCUGAGGAGCGAAAGCGUGGGGAGCGAACAGGAUUAGAUACCCUAGUAGUC
RNAcentral lists this ribosomal RNA (448 nucleotides) under uncultured Microbacteriaceae bacterium. RNAcentral's name for it is "bacterial SSU rRNA". It matches the Rfam family "Bacterial small subunit ribosomal RNA", at positions 335 to 795 of the family's 1533-position model. Lineage: Bacteria; Bacillati; Actinomycetota; Actinomycetes; Micrococcales; Microbacteriaceae. The record is from RNAcentral.